GACGAACGCUGGCGGCGUGCUUAAUACAUGCAAGUCGAACGGAAGUAGCAAUACUUUAGUGGCGCACGGGUGAGGAACACGUAGAUGAUCUGCCCUUGAGAUCGAGAUAACCCCGGGAAACUGGGGCUAAUACCGGAUAAUGCAUUAUUAUUGGUUUAAUAAUGUUAAAGCGGCGCAAGUCGCACUUGAGGAUGAGUCUGCGACCUAUCAGCUAGUUGGCGGUGUAAUGGACCACCAAGGCAAAGACGGGUAGCUGAUCUGAGAGGAUGAUCAGCCACACUGGGACUGAGACACGGCCCAGACUCCUACGGGAGGCAGCAGUAGGGAAUAUUGCGCAAUGGGGAAACCCUGACGCAGCGACGCCGCGUCGAGUGAUGAAGGCCUUUCUGGUUGUAAAGCUCUGUAAGGAGGAAGAAUGUCAGGCAGUAACGUGUCUGAGUGACGGUACCUCCGGAGUAAGGACCGGCUAAAUACGUGCCAGCA
Molecule: ribosomal RNA, 483 nt
Filed under: uncultured bacterium
Lineage: Bacteria
Description: bacterial SSU rRNA
Rfam family: Bacterial small subunit ribosomal RNA
Source: RNAcentral